UCGGCCACAUUGGGACUGAGACACGGCCCAAACUCCUACGGGAGGCAGCAGUAGGGAAUCUUCGGCAAUGGACGAAAGUCUGACCGAGCAACGCCGCGUGAGUGAAGAAGGUUUUCGGAUCGUAAAACUCUGUUGUUAGAGAAGAACAAGGAUGAGAGUAACUGUUCAUCCCUUGACGGUAUCUAACCAGAAAGCCACGGCUAACUACGUGCCAGCAGCCGCGGUAAUACGUAGGUGGCAAGCGUUGUCCGGAUUUAUUGGGCGUAAAGCGAGCGCAGGCGGUUUCUUAAGUCUGAUGUGAAAGCCCCCGGCUCAACCGGGGAGGGUCAUUGGAAACUGGGAGACUUGAGUGCAGAAGAGGAGAGUGGAAUUCCAUGUGUAGCGGUGAAAUGCGUAGAUAUAUGGAGGAACACCAGUGGCGAAGGCGGCUCUCUGGUCUGUAACUGACGCUGAGGCUCGAAAGCGUGGGGAGCAAACAGGAUUAGAUACCCUGGUAGUCCACGCCGUAAACGAUGAGUGCUAAGUGUUGGAGGGUUUCCGCCCUUCAGUGCUGCAGCUAACGCAUUAAGCACUCCGCCUGGGGAG
Molecule: ribosomal RNA, 585 nt
Filed under: uncultured Enterococcus sp.
Lineage: Bacteria; Bacillati; Bacillota; Bacilli; Lactobacillales; Enterococcaceae
Description: bacterial SSU rRNA
Rfam family: Bacterial small subunit ribosomal RNA
Source: RNAcentral